Molecule: small nuclear RNA, 95 nt
Organism: Vulpes vulpes (red fox)
Lineage: Eukaryota; Metazoa; Chordata; Mammalia; Carnivora; Canidae
Source: Ensembl
AUGCUCAUUUUGGUAGUACAUCUACUAAAACUGGGAAGAUUAGCAUGACCCCUGCACAAGGAUGACACACAAAUUUUGAAGCACUCUAUAUUUUU